AUACUUACCUGGUAGGGGAGAUAGCAUGAUCACGAAGGUGAUUUUCCCAGGGCAAGACUUAUCCAUUGCACUCCGGGUGUGCUGACCCCUGCGAUUUCCCCAAAUGUGGGAAACUCGACUGCAUAAUUUGUGAUAGUGGGGGACUGUGUUCGCACUCUCCCCUG
Molecule: small nuclear RNA, 164 nt
Filed under: Echinops telfairi (small Madagascar hedgehog)
Lineage: Eukaryota; Metazoa; Chordata; Mammalia; Afrosoricida; Tenrecidae
Description: U1 spliceosomal RNA (ENSETEG00000022125.1)
Rfam family: U1 spliceosomal RNA
About the family: U1 is a small nuclear RNA (snRNA) component of the spliceosome (involved in pre-mRNA splicing).
Source: RNAcentral